This is a non-coding RNA of Pseudonaja textilis, 1173 nucleotides long. The record is from RefSeq and is a predicted model, not a curated record. NCBI's taxonomy places the organism in Eukaryota, Metazoa, Chordata, Lepidosauria, Squamata, Elapidae.
UUUCACAGUCUAAAUACAAGAGUAGAUCAAUAUCACUUGUAGAAAAUGUAGCAUUAGAAAUACAAUGGAUUACAAUGCAUCUAGAUUCAAGAUCGAUGUUAAAGCAGCCAUUUUCUAUAUGUAGGUUUUUAUUUCACAGAUUAUUGAAUGUGAAAAGAGCAAAGCUCUAGAGGAAGCAACCCAAUGAACAAUUACUAGGAAAGAAGUCCACUAAACUAAGACUUCCUUCUGGAUAAAGAUGCAUAGGAUUUCCUCAGGCCUCAAACUUGCCAAUGCCUGUGUAAUGUGAAUACUUUUGGUUCUGCUAUAUAUAAAAAUGUCUUCUGAAUCAUGUACAUACUUUGGGGCAAUAAUGCAAAUUAACUAACUGAUCCUACUCUGUUUACAAGUCUUCUGCCCCAAUUAAGGAUUUGGGAACUGGCAAGUUGUAUUUGAAAAAGAAAUAAAAAAAUAUUGUAAGCUAACUUUUUCCCAAUAAAAAUCUGAAAAGUACUCUACAUUAAUGACAUUUUUCUUUCCAUAUUACCUCCUAAUCUUUGCUUUGCUUUGUGUCCUUUUAUAGUGUUCUUUCCUAUUUUACAGUAAUUGGUCCUCUAGACAAUUUUUUUUCAGGAACAGAAAGCCAUUUAAAAUAUGCACUCGCUCUCUUUAGCGGUAAGAAUUGUUUUGACUACAUCUUUCAUUCUCAGAACUAACUUCAGCGAAGUCCUAAUAAUUGGACUUCAAGAAUUGGAAAACAUGUUCAGUAGGGAAUGCAUUUAGGUAGAAGCCCAGACUCCCAGUGCAUUUUUUAAAGAUUAAGCAUUAUAAAUAAUCGAUGGGGUGCUGGCCCUAUUAUUUACCAAAGUAGCCGUUCAACUUUCAUAAUUCCUCAGCCAGGAUAACCUUUGAUGAGAAUUCUGCGAACUUCGAAGUCCACUCAUCCAGAAGUUGCCAAGAUUGGAAAAGGCUGUACUGUAGAAGAUUGACACGGUCUAUUUUGGAUCACAUCACUUUGGACCAAAUGCAGGGUGACAUUUUUGAUUCAUUUUUGAUUAUUAUAGCUUAUUAAAAAUGUAUUAUUCAAAGAUGUUACAUAAGAAACACCAAAAAUAUGACACUCCUUGCAACCCCCAGAUCAAAAAUACUAUCUCAUUCUAAUUUAUUGCUUUAAAGCAAUGCAAGACCCACCCC